GAGCAAGAGCAUCUAUUGUAAAAACAAAUGGUGCAUCUUGCCUUGAAGGUUGGCAAAAAGAACUUAACUGGCGAUUCUCCGUGCCUAUCAAGUUGAUUUAAUAGUUUUGAUGACGGCCUCGAACAAGUCGCUACAGC
Molecule: small nucleolar RNA, 137 nt
Organism: Prosopis cineraria
Lineage: Eukaryota; Viridiplantae; Streptophyta; Magnoliopsida; Fabales; Fabaceae
Source: RefSeq, a predicted model, not a curated record